GAGCGGUAAAGAGAGUAGCUUGCUACUUUGCUGACGAGCGGCGGACGGGUGAGUAAUGCUUGGGAACAUGCCUUGAGGUGGGGGACAACAGUUGGAAACGACUGCUAAUACCGCAUAAUGUCUACGGACCAAAGGGGGCUUCGGCUCUCGCCUUUAGAUUGGCCCAAGUGGGAUUAGCUAGUUGGUGAGGUAAUGGCUCACCAAGGCGACGAUCCCUAGCUGGUUUGAGAGGAUGAUCAGCCACACUGGGACUGAGACACGGCCCAGACUCCUACGGGAGGCAGCAGUGGGGAAUAUUGCACAAUGGGCGCAAGCCUGAUGCAGCCAUGCCGCGUGUGUGAAGAAGGCCUUCGGGUUGUAAAGCACUUUCAGUCAGGAGGAAAGGUUAGUAGUUAAUACCUGCUAGCUGUGACGUUACUGACAGAAGAAGCACCGGCUAACUCCGUGCCAGCAGCCGCGGUAAUACGGAGGGUGCGAGCGUUAAUCGGAAUUACUGGGCGUAAAGCGUACGCAGGCGGUUUGUUAAGCGAGAUGUGAAAGCCCCGGGCUCAACCUGGGAACUGCAUUUCGAACUGGCAAACUAGAGUGUGAUAGAGGGUGGUAGAAUUUCAGGUGUAGCGGUGAAAUGCGUAGAGAUCUGAAGGAAUACCGAUGGCGAAGGCAGCCACCUGGGUCAACACUGACGCUCAUGUACGAAAGCGUGNGGAGCAAACAGGAUUAGAUACCCUGGUAGUCCACGCCGUANACGAUGUCUACUAGAAGCUCGGAACCUCGGUUCUGUUUUUCAAAGCUAACGCA
RNAcentral lists this ribosomal RNA (798 nucleotides) under uncultured Pseudoalteromonas sp. RNAcentral describes it as "bacterial SSU rRNA". It matches the Rfam family "Bacterial small subunit ribosomal RNA", at positions 64 to 859 of the family's 1533-position model. The record is from RNAcentral. Lineage: Bacteria; Pseudomonadati; Pseudomonadota; Gammaproteobacteria; Alteromonadales; Pseudoalteromonadaceae.